UGACAGUCAUGUCUUUCCAGGGGU
Molecule: non-coding RNA, 24 nt
Filed under: Rattus norvegicus (Norway rat)
Lineage: Eukaryota; Metazoa; Chordata; Mammalia; Rodentia; Muridae
Source: RNAcentral